This 258-nucleotide long non-coding RNA is filed under the name Gossypium barbadense (sea-island cotton). RNAcentral's name for it is "long non-coding RNA (GBAR_LNC012918)". The record is from RNAcentral. Lineage: Eukaryota; Viridiplantae; Streptophyta; Magnoliopsida; Malvales; Malvaceae.
CUUGAUGGAAUGUUACUUCCUAAAGUUACUAAAUCACCCUUAUGUUGUUUCCACCUCCAAGAGUUGAAAUUACAUCAUUGCCUCUUAUGGCCAUUUGUGUAUUUUGUAUGAUUUUUUUUUUCUUCUCUCCACUUUAACAAUUUAUAUUUGAAGUUUAUAAUUGUUUUUCUUAAUAAUAUUAUUUUCAAUAUUCGAAUCAAUGUCCUUUCUUGAUAGUAUAAUGUCACUUACCACUUUACCCAAUACUUAAAAGUUAUA